GACGAACGCUGGCGGCGUGCUUAACACAUGCAAGUCGAACGGUCCUGUUUUUGAAGCGCUUCGGCGUGGAGGGAGCGGGUUAGUGGCGCACGGGUGAGUAAUGCGCGAGGACCUGCCCGCGGGAGGGGGACAGCAGUUGGAAACGGCUGGUGAUACCCCGUAAGCCGGGAGGUAAAAGGGCGGAGACGCCCGCCUGCGGAUGGACUCGCGUCCUAUCAGCUAGUUGGUGAGGCAACGGCUCACCAAGGCGACGACGGGUAGCCGGCCUGAGAGGGUGACCGGCCACACUGGGACUGAGACACGGCCCAGACUCCUACGGGGGCAGCAGUGGGGAAUCUUGCACAAUGGGCGAAAGCCUGAUGCAGCGACGCCGCGUGAGCGAAGAAGGCCUUCGGGUUGUAAAGCUCUGUCUGGAGGGACGAAGGAAGUGACGGUACCUCCGGAGGAAGCCACGGCUAACUACGUG
Molecule: ribosomal RNA, 466 nt
Filed under: uncultured bacterium
Lineage: Bacteria
Description: bacterial SSU rRNA
Rfam family: Bacterial small subunit ribosomal RNA
Source: RNAcentral